CCACAUUCGACGAUUGGGAGAGUAGCUGGCUGUUCUAGUCCAAGCGAGCCGGGAGGGUGGAAACCGGUACAGGGCUUCCAGUGAAACGGACCCAUGAGAAUGGUUGCUGAACAUGAGUCGAGUAAGCAGCCACGGCCCAAGACCGUUAUCCUUCAGAGUGGUUAAACAUGAAGUUUAACAACAAGAGUGGUACCGCGAGCGCGUAAUGCCUUCGUCUCUUUG
RNAcentral lists this non-coding RNA (222 nucleotides) under Paenibacillus sp. RNAcentral describes it as "T-box sequence". It matches the Rfam family "T-box leader". Rfam says of the family: Uncharged tRNA acts as the effector for transcription antitermination of genes in the T-box leader family. T-boxes are found upstream of many aminoacyl-tRNA synthetase genes and some amino acid biosynthetic genes usually in Gram-positive bacteria. The anticodon of a specific tRNA base pairs to a specifier sequence within the T-box motif, and the NCCA acceptor tail of the tRNA base pairs to a conserved bulge in the T-box antiterminator hairpin. The record is from RNAcentral. Lineage: Bacteria; Bacillati; Bacillota; Bacilli; Caryophanales; Paenibacillaceae.